This 366-nucleotide ribosomal RNA is filed under the name Blastocystis sp. subtype 5. RNAcentral's name for it is "bacterial SSU rRNA". It matches the Rfam family "Eukaryotic small subunit ribosomal RNA", at positions 517 to 893 of the family's 1831-position model. The record is from RNAcentral. Lineage: Eukaryota; Bigyra; Opalinata; Blastocystidae.
AGAACAAUGUACAAAUGUUAUCGAUAAACAAUUGGAGGGCAAGUCUGGUGCCAGCAGCCGCGGUAAUUCCAGCUCCAAUAGCGUAUAUUAACGUUGUUGCAGUUAAAAAGCUCGUAGUUGAAAUGUGGGAUGAAGUAUAUAAUGAAUUUCUAAUUCAAUUAUAUAUUGAUUCCCCUCUCCAAUUUAUUAUUAUGGGUAUUAAUUUAUUUGUAAUAAGAAUUGGUCAUUUACUGUGAGAAAAUUAGAGUGUUCAAAGCAGGCAUUUGCUUGAAUAGAUUAGCAUGGAAUAAUACUAAAAGGCUUUUAUGGUCGAUUUAAUUGGUUUGUUCAUAAAAGCAAGAUUAAAAGGAACAGUUGGGGGUAUUC